RNAcentral lists this ribosomal RNA (530 nucleotides) under uncultured bacterium. RNAcentral's name for it is "bacterial SSU rRNA". It matches the Rfam family "Bacterial small subunit ribosomal RNA", at positions 952 to 1482 of the family's 1533-position model. The record is from RNAcentral.
CGAAGCAACGCGAAGAACCUUACCAGGGCUUGACAUCCCUUGAAGUGCAUAGAAAUAUGUACGCCUUUCGGGGCAAGGAGACAGGUGGUGCAUGGUUGUCGUCAGCUCGUGUCGUGAGAUGUUGGGUUAAGUCCCGCAACGAGCGCAACCCUUAUGGUUAGUUGCCAGCACGAAAGGUGGGAACUCUAAUCAGACUGCCGGGGAUAACUCGGAGGAAGGUGGGGACGACGUCAAAUCAUCAUGCCCCUUAUGUCCUGGGCUACACACGUGCUACAAUGGCCGGUACAAAGGGCUGCGAAACCGAAAGGUGAAGCGAAUCCCAUAAAGCCGGUCCCAGUUCGGAUUGUGGGCUGCAACCCGCCCACAUGAAGCCGGAGUUGCUAGUAAUCGCGAAUCAGCAUGUCGCGGUGAAUGCGUUCCCGGGCCUUGUACACACCGCCCGUCACACCAUGGGAGUUGGGAGCGCCCGAAGCCGAUGGCCUAACAAGCAAUUGAAGGAGUCGUCGAAGGCGAGAUCAAUGACUGGGGUG